This 412-nucleotide ribosomal RNA is filed under the name uncultured Leptolinea sp. Its description in RNAcentral is "bacterial SSU rRNA". It matches the Rfam family "Bacterial small subunit ribosomal RNA", at positions 957 to 1378 of the family's 1533-position model. The record is from RNAcentral. Lineage: Bacteria; Bacillati; Chloroflexota; Anaerolineae; Anaerolineales; Anaerolineaceae.
CUACACGAAGAACCUUACCAGGGUUUGACAUGCAAGUGGUAGGAAGCCGAAAGGUGACCGACCUUCGGGGAGCUUGCACAGGUGCUGCAUGGCUGUCGUCAGCUCGUGUCGUGAGAUGUUCGGUUAAGUCCGCUAACGAGCGCAACCCUCGCUGUGUGUUACAAGUGUCACACGGUACUGCCGAUAUUAAGUCGGAGGAAGGUGGGAUGACGUCAAGUCAGCAUGACCUUUAUAUCCAGGGCUACACACACGCUACAAUGGCCAGUACAAUGGGUUGCCAAGCCGCGAGGCGGAGCCAAUCCUAAAAAGCUGGCCUCAGUUCAGAUUGCAGUCUCGUAACUCGACUGCAUGAAGUUGGAGUUGCUAGUAACCGCAGGUCAGCAAUACUGCGGUGAAUACGUUCCCGGGGAUU